This is a long non-coding RNA of Bos taurus (domestic cattle), 1105 nucleotides long. The record is from Ensembl. Lineage: Eukaryota; Metazoa; Chordata; Mammalia; Artiodactyla; Bovidae.
AUUUUAGCAACUCUGGAUACUGAUGCCCUCCUUUUCUCUGGGCGUGUUUUUACAGUUGUUCGUCUGUUUAUUUGCUUAGUGAUAUGGCUAGACUGCUCUAGUGAGUCCGUUUCCCCUGCAGUGUGAAGUCCUUUGGUGUCAGUCUUCAGAGGGUGCACAUUAAGCAUGAGCAGAGUCACCUGGGCUUUCCAGGGGGCUCUCUGUCUCUUUCCAGAUCCCUCCAUUCAGCCGUUUCGGUUAAUAUCACACCCAGUUGUUGGGCUCCGCUAAUUGUUGGCUGCCUGGUCUGCUGUUUUCAGCAAUGCCCAUAAACUGCUGCACAGUCUUCUGGCUACUGCUCAGCUUUGAGGCCAGUCACUGAGAACUUUGCAGCCCUCUGUGAACUGCCUUUCUCCUGGGAAGAAUCUUUGGGCCACUGCUCUGCAGUGGUAGCCUCUGCUUUUCGUGACUUGCUUCUCUUGGUAUGGAACCUCUGCUCUAUAAGUGAUCAGCGGUAGGUACAGUCAGGACUCCCAUAUGCCAUGCCUCCAUUCAGGGGGUAGGCGCUGCUUGGAGGACGCGUGCCCCCAAGCUCUCAGCCACACUCACCAGGAAUUUAGCUGCUUCAGCUUGGAGUUGGGAGGAUGAGAAAUGUUGGUGUCCUGUUCCAUUGGUAAGAUGCCAUGUCCUUUGAUCAGGAACUGAAAGGAGAGGGAGCCCCAUCUUCUUGGCCAUACCCACCCCACAUGGAGUCUGUCAAGUGGAGCUGGGGGUUGGUUGGAGCUCCUUAUGCUGCUGUCUCAGAAGUGGACCCUUUCAACCUUGUUUCUGAGCUGAGACUGAUGAAACCUGUGGUUCCCAGGCCUGCAGGUGUGGGAAGAGGUUUAAAAUCCCUGCUGCCUGCCUAUUUCACAUUGAUGUGAAAAUCAUGGGGUAAGAAAUGGGAGAUGACAAGAGAGCCCCCUCUCUGUGAAGCCCCAUAAGGCUUUGUAGACUUGUUCUGGAGAACUACGAACCUCAGUCUAACAGUUGGACAUUUAGCAUAGCUGCGGAUGCCAAUGCACCUUCCAGCAUUAUUUGUAAAAAUAUCUGAUGGUUCUUUAGUCUUGUUUACAAAAUCUUUUAA